UACGGAGGGGGCGAGCGUUAUUCGGAAUCAUUGGGCGUAAAGGGCGCGUAGGCGGCUUUGUAAGUCUUGGGUGAAAGCCCUCGGCUCAACCGAGGAAUUGCCUUGGAUACUGCGAAGCUCGAGGCUGGAAGAGGACAGUGGAAUUCCAGGUGUAGCGGUGAAAUGCGUAGAUAUCUGGAGGAACACCGGUGGCGAAGGCGGCGUUCUGGACUGCAACUGACACUGAGGAACGAAAGCCAGGGGAGCAAACGGG
RNAcentral lists this ribosomal RNA (253 nucleotides) under uncultured bacterium. RNAcentral's name for it is "partial 16S ribosomal RNA". It matches the Rfam family "Bacterial small subunit ribosomal RNA", at positions 524 to 776 of the family's 1533-position model. The record is from RNAcentral.